UAGCAAUCAGCGAGACUCCGUGGGCGUAGGACCCUCCAAGACAGGUGUGGGAUAUAAUCUCGUGGUGCGCCGUUUUUUAAGCCCGUCGGAAAAGCGCAGUAUUCGGGUGGGAGUGACCCGAUUUUCCAGGUGCCGUCCGUCACCCCUUUCUUUGACUCGGAAAGGGAACUCCCUGACCCCUUGUGCUUCCCAAGUGAGGCAGUGCCUCGCCCUGCUUCGGCUCGUGCACGGUUCGCGCACCCACUGACCUGCGCCCACUGUCUGGCACUCCCUAGUGAGAUGAACCCAGUACCUCAGAUGGAAAUGCAGAAAUCACCAUCUUCUGCGUCGCUCACGCUGGGAGCUGUAGACCGGAGCUGUUCCUAUUCGGCCAUCUUGAAUUGUAGGCAUUUUUAAAAACAGACUCUGGAGAUGAAUCUUUUCUAGUUAUAUACUUUGCCCACCCAUGGCCACCCAUGGACCAGUCAGCUUGUACUUCCUCCCCUCUGAAGCCCACAAAAUCUCUGGAUUCAGUCAGACUCGGGCAGAUGACAGGAUGACCUGCUUGUGGAGAGGAGCUACCCACUCUGGAUCUCCUCUCUGCUGAGGGCUGCACACUCAUUGGGAUGACCUGCCUGCACAUAGAAG
RNAcentral lists this long non-coding RNA (627 nucleotides) under Homo sapiens (human). RNAcentral's name for it is "non-protein coding lnc-EHF-1:1". The record is from RNAcentral. Lineage: Eukaryota; Metazoa; Chordata; Mammalia; Primates; Hominidae.